This 878-nucleotide ribosomal RNA is filed under the name uncultured Acinetobacter sp. RNAcentral's name for it is "bacterial SSU rRNA". It matches the Rfam family "Bacterial small subunit ribosomal RNA", at positions 78 to 951 of the family's 1533-position model. The record is from RNAcentral. Lineage: Bacteria; Pseudomonadati; Pseudomonadota; Gammaproteobacteria; Moraxellales; Moraxellaceae.
GCUUGCUCUCUCACUUAUCGGCGGACGGGUGAGUAAUGCUUAGGAAUCUGCCUAUUAGUGGGGGACAACAUUUCGAAAGGAAUGCUAAUACCGCAUACGUCCUACGGGAGAAAGCAGGGGAUCUUCGGACCUUGCGCUUAUAGAUGAGCCUAAGUCGGAUUACCUAGUUGGUGGGGUAAAGGCCUACCAAGGCGACGAUCUGUAGCGGGUCUGAGAGGAUGAUCCGCCACACUGGGACUGAGACACGGCCCAGACUCCUACGGGAGGCAGCAGUGGGGAAUAUUGGACAAUGGGCGCAAGCCUGAUCCAGCCAUGCCGCGUGUGUGAAGAAGGCCUUAUGGUUGUAAAGCACUUUAAGCGAGGAGGAGGCUACUUUAGUUAAUACCUAGAGAUAGUGGACGUUACUCGCAGAAUAAGCACCGGCUAACUCUGUGCCAGCAGCCGCGGUAAUACAGAGGGUGCAAGCGUUAAUCGGAUUUACUGGGCGUAAAGCGCGCGUAGGCGGCUAAUUAAGUCAAAUGUGAAAUCCCCGAGCUUAACUUGGGAAUUGCAUUCGAUACUGGUUAGCUAGAGUGUGGGAGAGGAUGGUAGAAUUCCAGGUGUAGCGGUGAAAUGCGUAGAGAUCUGGAGGAAUACCGAUGGCGAAGGCAGCCAUCUGGCCUAACACUGACGCUGAGGUGCGAAAGCAUGGGGAGCAAACAGGAUUAGAUACCCUGGUAGUCCAUGCCGUAAACGAUGUCUACUAGCCGUUGGGGCCUUUGAGGCUUUAGUGGCGCAGCUAACGCGAUAAGUAGACCGCCUGGGGAGUACGGUCGCAAGACUAAAACUCAAAUGAAUUGACGGGGGCCCGCACAAGCGGUGGAGCAUGUGGUUUAAUU